GGAUAGUGGUCACUUCCGAAUGUUGAUGAUAAAACAGUACUUGACAGCUGAGAUGUAAAUUGGGGACGGGAAGAUUUAGAUAUUACUGUUUUCUUGUAAGAUUUUUGUGGCGAAUAUGAAGUUGUAGUAUUAACGUUUUGGAACGAUAAUUUUCUUUGAGGACUGGACAAGACUUCAGCAAAUGAUUUAUGAAGUGUAGGGAAAAUUUUACUUGCUUCUUGAUAAGAAACGCAAUUUUGGGACAUAUAAAGCUU
Molecule: unclassified non-coding RNA, 254 nt
Filed under: Melitaea cinxia (Glanville fritillary)
Lineage: Eukaryota; Metazoa; Arthropoda; Insecta; Lepidoptera; Nymphalidae
Description: misc RNA ENSMCXG00005014168.1
Source: RNAcentral